This 1373-nucleotide ribosomal RNA is filed under the name uncultured bacterium. Its description in RNAcentral is "16S ribosomal RNA". It matches the Rfam family "Bacterial small subunit ribosomal RNA". The record is from RNAcentral.
UUAGAGUUUGAUCCUGGCUCAGGACGAACGCUGGCGGCGCGCCUAACACAUGCAAGUCGAACGAGCAAAGAGGAGCUUGCUUCUCUGAGCGAGUGGCGAACGGGUGAGUAACGCGUGAGGAACCUGCCUCAGAGAGGGGGACAACAGUUGGAAACGGCUGCUAAUACCGCAUAAGCCCACGGGUCGGCAUCGACCAGAGGGAAAAGGAGUGAUCCGCUUUGAGAUGGCCUCGCGUCCGAUUAGCUAGUUGGUGAGGUAACGGCCCACCAAGGCGACGAUCGGUAGCCGGACUGAGAGGCUGAACGGCCACAUUGGGACUGAGACACGGCCCAGACUCCUACGGGAGGCAGCAGUGGGGAAUAUUGCACAAUGGGGGAAACCCUGAUGCAGCGACGCCGCGUGGAGGAAGAAGGUCUUCGGAUUGUAAACUCCUGUUGUUGAGGAAGAUAAUGACGGUACUCAACAAGGAAGUGACGGCUAACUACGUGCCAGCAGCCGCGGUAAAACGUAGGUCACAAGCGUUGUCCGGAAUUACUGGGUGUAAAGGGAGCGCAGGCGGGAAGACAAGUUGGAAGUGAAAUCCAUGGGCUCAACCCAUGAACUGCUUUCAAAACUGUUUUUCUUGAGUAGUGCAGAGUAGACGGAAUUCCCGGUGUAGCGGUGGAAUGCGUAGAUAUCGGGAGGAACACCAGUGGCGAAGGCGGCCUACUGGGCACCAACUGACGCUGAGGCUCGAAAGUGUGGGUAGCAAACAGGAUUAGAUACCCUGGUAGUCCACACCGUANACGAUGAUUACUAGGUGUUGGAGGAUUGACCCCUUCAGUGCCGCAGUUAACACAAUAAGUAAUCCACCUGGGGAGUACGACCGCAAGGUUGAAACUCAAAGGAAUUGACGGGGGCCCGCACAAGCAGUGGAGUAUGUGGUUUAAUUCGACGCAACGCGAAGAACCUUACCAAGUCUUGACAUCCUGCGACGAUGCUAGAAAUAGUAUUUUCCUUUGGGACGCAGAGACAGGUGGUGCAUGGUUGUCGUCAGCUCGUGUCGUGAGAUGUUGGGUUAAGUCCCGCAACGAGCGCAACCCUUAUGGUCAGUUACUACGCAAGAGGACUCUGGCCAGACUGCCGUUGACAAAACGGAGGAAGGUGGGGAUGACGUCAAAUCAUCAUGCCCUUUAUGACUUGGGCUACACACGUACUACAAUGGCGUUAAACAAAGAGAAGCAAGACCGCGAGGUGGAGCAAAACUCAGAAACAACGUCCCAGUUCGGACUGCAGGCUGCAACUCGCCUGCACGAAGUCGGAAUUGCUAGUAAUCGUGGAUCAGCAUGCCACGGUGAAUACGUUCCCGGGCCAAUGUACACACGCGCCCGUCA